UGGGGAAUAUUGGACAAUGGGCGAAAGCCUAAUCCAGCCAUGCCGCGUGUGUGAAGAAGGUCUUCGGAUAGUAAAGCACUUUAAGUUGGGAGGAAGGCCAGUAAGCGAAUACCUUGCUGUUUUGACGUUACCGACAGAAUAAGCACCGGCUAACUCGGUGCCAGCAGCCGCGGUAAUACAGAGGGUGCAAGCGUUAAUCGGAAUUACUGGGCGUAAAGCGCGCGUAGGUGGUUCGUUAAGUUGAAUGUGAAAGCCCCGGGCUCAACCUGGGAACUGCAUCCAAAACUGGCGAGCUAGAGUAGGGCAGAGGGUGGUGGAAUUUCCUGUGUAGCGGUGAAAUGCGUAGAUAUAGGAAGGAACACCAGUGGCGAAGGCGACCACCUGGGCUCAUACUGACACUGAGGUGCGAAAGCGUGGGGAGCAAACAGG
RNAcentral lists this ribosomal RNA (429 nucleotides) under Pseudomonadota bacterium. RNAcentral describes it as "Proteobacteria bacterium partial 16S ribosomal RNA". It matches the Rfam family "Bacterial small subunit ribosomal RNA", at positions 355 to 776 of the family's 1533-position model. Lineage: Bacteria; Pseudomonadati; Pseudomonadota. The record is from RNAcentral.